Molecule: long non-coding RNA, 2631 nt
Organism: Helianthus annuus (common sunflower)
Lineage: Eukaryota; Viridiplantae; Streptophyta; Magnoliopsida; Asterales; Asteraceae
Exons: 4
Source: RefSeq, a predicted model, not a curated record
CACACGUCUCCACAACACAAAACCCUAAAACUAUUGCACAUCCCACACACAUACGGAGAGAGGGAGACCUUGUGAUGGUUCCCGCGGAGUAAUAGCGGUGGUGAUUAGAAACCAUAGCAACCCUAAAACUACUGCACAUCCCACACACAUGGGUCAUCUUGAUUGGUUAACAAGGGCGGUGCCUUCACCCCUGCAGUCCAUAUAUAAGGCGGUGAGAAAAAGGUAUCGAUUGAUGAUGGUGGAGCGGUUAACGGAGGAGCACCGCCGCCCCUUCUGUCUAUCUUGUAUGAUCGACGCUUAUCCCGUCUUCGAUCUCCUCGGCUAAGCGCCUGUUCAGUGCGGCCAUUUGAGUCAGAUUUCUCCAUGGUAAUCUCUUUUUAUCUCCAUUCUUGAGUUUUAUGCUUUUAGAGCUUUUGGUAUAAUGUAUUAUUUCUCUAAUUUGAGAACUCUUUGGAUCUGUAAAGCCUAAAGAAUUUCUGGUGUAAAACCCUAAGUCUACUAUGAAUUUCUAGGGGUGGAGUUUAAUUGUUGAUAUCCAGUAAUCUUGAUUAUUGGGUUCUGAAAUAUGAAAUCCGGUGAUCAUGAAGUUGUAAAGGUGGAAUCUUUGCAUGUUAGGAACUCAAAGAUCCGGAUUUUGAAUUGGAACUUUGAUCGUGUUGCUGUUAUGAAACCCUAACGGGUCUUUGUUCCUGAAUGGGGUCUUUGAUUUGUGUUGUUGUAGUCUUUGUAUCCGAAUGGGGAAUUUGAUUGUACCACUGUAUUGAAACCGUAAGUUAGUCUUUGCUUUUGCAACCUCCGUUGCAGCCAUUAUCAACCAGUUGAAUUUCACUCGGCCUGUUGGAAUUAAGAGUAUAUGGAACUGAAAGCUAUAUUUGGUCGUUGCGUACCAAGUUCGUUUGCUGGCUAUGAUGACUUUGGUAAAAAAAAGUUUAGGUUUGAUGUUGCAUAGCAAGGAUGGUGAGUGCAGAGUUUGCUACUAGCAACCUGUUACGCAGCUAUGAUAACCUCAAUACCUAUUCUGAGUUGUCUAUUACAAGGCAUUAAGAAACCAAAAUGUGUUCCAGUUCAAUAAACGACCUCAUUAAAAUGAGUGAAUCAUUUCCGUUUGAAUGGAUCAGUAAAAAUGGAAAGAAGGGUUUCAUGUAACUUCAAUGACUGCAGCUAGCAGUCGUUGGGGUGUUGUGAUGUCAACAAACGCAGGAUUUUUUGACCAGGUAUUGUUAUGUGCUUUUAUCGAGCAUAUAAAAGUUAUAGCAGAAUGUUAAAUUUGCAAAUUUGAAUGCAUAUUGUUAAUAUUUUGGUAAGUAACAACAAUGCAUUUGAGUGCAAAGUAAAUUAUAGUUUCUUUUUCAAGUGCUACACAUAAAAUAAAUUAAAAAAUUUGUUCAGAUAUAAAGCAUUAUUAACCAAGUAUUUACUACCCUACCUUCCUGUCAUGAGAUUGUAUUAUCAAAUCUGAUAUAUUACUCUAAAUGCUUAAAUCCCUCGCUAGGUAUAUGCAGUGCGAGAUUAUUUCUCCUUUUAAUGCUUCUAUUCCCACAGGCGUGAUGAAGAAGAUUAUUAAGGAAGGUGAUGGGUAUGAAGCACCACUUAAUGGUGAUAAAGUUGAAGCUUGUGCUCGGCUUGAAUUUAAAGAUCGCUCGGUGGCUAGAAUUCUGAAGUUUGAACCAAGCUGAACGAGGCUCGAAUUUAACCUGAGAUGGCUCAGGUUUAUUUAUACAUUUUCUUUCAAAUUUAACCAUUAAACAUUUGCUCGAGCUAGCGUGAGCUUGAAAUCAGCCCUUAAACCAAUUUUGAACUUGGCUGAAUAUUUGAGUUGGGGCUAGGCUCCCUUACAAACCAAGCCAACUCGGUUAGGAUCGGGUCACCUUAGCUCGAUUGCCCAGGUUCAUUUAUACAUUAUCAGAGUAUUUGGUGCAGAGUGUGAUCAUCUUAUUCAAGUGGUAAUUGCUGAAGAAAACUGAGACAAAAUUCGAGUUCCAAAUACCUAUUAACAAUCCAUUAAGUCACUAAUUUCAUCUCUGCCGCUCAUGAUGAUGAUCAUGUACUAGUUGGAUUGCCUAAACUCCAUACGCUUCCUGCAGGAGUUUUUAUAAUGGGCCUUGAAAGCUCCUUAUCAGCCCAAAAUCGCCUUCCAACAAAUGAACCAAUUGAGGAGUUUUUAUUCAAGAGGUGUAAGAAUGUGAAUUGCAAACAGUUGUUGACUGUUGAAGACUGUGACUGCAAGAUUUGCUCUACAAAGAAAGGACUUUGUAGCGAGUGUAUGUGUCCUGUUUUUCUAAACUUUGACUUUGCCAGCAAAACCUACAGUUGGAUCGGUUGUGAUGUGUGUUCUCAUCAGUGGCACUCAGAAGAAUAUCAUAAAGCCCAGACAAAGCUUAAAAGGACCUGCAGGCACAAUUGAGAUGGAAUUUAAUCAUCUUUGUUGUGGUCAUGCUUCUGAAAUGUUUGGAUUCAUUAAGGACGUUUUCAAGUCUUGUGCAGAACAAUGGUGUAUGGAAACGUUAAUUAAAGAGCUUGAAUAAGUAGUUUGAUAGUUGAGUAAUAUUUAUAUUUUUGUCAAAUAUCUUGUAUCUUGUCCAUGUGUAAGUUUAAACAUAUGAUAGUUUGAUAGUUGAGUAAGUUUAAAUA